This is a long non-coding RNA of Oncorhynchus tshawytscha (Chinook salmon), 3451 nucleotides long. RefSeq lists it as uncharacterized. Lineage: Eukaryota; Metazoa; Chordata; Actinopteri; Salmoniformes; Salmonidae. The transcript is spliced from 4 exons. The record is from RefSeq and is a predicted model, not a curated record.
CAACUUGUUCGGUACACUCUGAGAAAGGUUACGGGUUCCAAAAGGGUUCUUUGGCUGUCAUCAAAGGAGAGAACUUUUUGGUUCGAGGUAGAACCCUCUGUGGAAUGGAGCCCAAAAUGGUUCUACCUAGACACAGAAGGGGUUCUCCUUGGAACCAAAAAGGGUUCUCCUAUGGGGACAGCAGAAUAAUCCAAUUAGUUUGUAGAUAGUACCUUUUUAUCUGAGUGUAGGCCUAUAUUGCAGUCGUGGUUCUGUGGAUAUCUGUGAAAAAUAAAGUUAAUUGGUGGUGGCGAGUUAAGAUAAUCAGAAAUACUAUUAAAUAUCCCCACUUUUAGCACACAUUUGCAAGCAGGCAAAGUAGCCUGUGUGUGCUGAGGCACGUGUGAUCACUCAACACUGACAGGACCAACAAAAAAUACAUGCUUGGGACUCCCGAGUGGCGCAGCUAUCACGGUACCGUGUAAAAAAAAAACUGCACUGUUGGUUAAGGGCUUGCAAGUAGGCAUUUCACGGUAAGGUCUACACUUGUAUUCGGCGCAUGUGACAAAUAAAGUUUGAUUAGAUUCGAAAUACCUAAUCCUGGCUACUAAUGUUCUAGCAUUAAUUUACUGAGGCAAGAAGAUCAGAGAUGUCAAGGUGGUACUCAAUCAUAUGCCAUGUGUUUGUGACACACAUGUAUGGUGAUAUUUUGAAGUUUUAUUUGGUUUAUUUUGCCUCCCAGGUAUUUGCAUUUAAUGUAUGUAUAUAAUUACUGCUGCUAGGGGAGCUGUGACGCCAAUGAAGUGAGUUAGAGAGAUAUUUAACAUUUCUUCUUCAUUAUGGAGAAUGACUAGUUCUGAAAACUAAUGUUUCUCCAUCUUAUCAUUUUACCCUAUUAAUUUAGGUAUGUAAUGUGCGAAAAUGCAAUAUGACUCAAAAUAUUGAGGUAACAUGGUUAAUUACAUAGUCUGUGAGUUUGAUGAUGUUUGAAGGCAGUUUUAACUGACUGAAAAACUGGUUGGUAUUUUCCCCCAUUGUAAGUAAGCUAAUGGAGUUAGGCUAGAUUGCUAAUGGUUUACAUGAACAAGAAAGGAUCAACAUGGCGUCCAAACUUUCUGUAAAUGUUUUCUCAACGUUUUAGAUGCAAUUUGUUUUAUUUUCUAUGAACAAAGACUCAGUUUACUUUAGGUAAUAUAUGUAAAUAUGCGAUGUCACGAUAAAAUGUAUUAAAAAAAUUUUUUAACAGUUCGCUAGCUUGAUGCUAACCAAAUUUAGCUUGGCUAAGAGCUAUAGUAGUUACCUUUAGCCUAGUUGGUUUUAGUCCAUGUCAGCUUAAUGUAUUAAUGUAAUGGUUGUAGCAUUGUUUUGCAUAGGCGUUUUAUAGGAGUUUUUUCUCUCCGAAAUUGACACUGAUAGUACAGUCCUCGUUUGGAUGAACGGACCAACGGGACUACCAUGGGCAAAGUCCCUUGACGGGUACCGGGAAUGGUGGAAUGACAAUCUGAUGGUAAUUAUCUUUGCAGACAACACAGCAGUGUCCAGGCCUCCAGAGUAUUCACUCUAUCGCCUGCUAUAUGGAGGGGAGCCACAGCAGUGAACUGAUGUGAACAAUGCAACUGUGUAUAUAACAUUAUUGUGUAUACAUUUUUGGGGAUUGACUUAGAGUUUUUCAUUUGCUGUUUUUGUAUAACAUACUUUGUGGUGGAAGUUGUGAAACCAGAUCAGAACGCCUUCGAAGACCACCUUCAGGCACGGACUGAGAAGGAUGUGGAGGUUUUUGACCAGUCAAGGUGAGACUGAACAUGGACUGGGCACAUGAGAAAAAGGAGAGCCACCUGAGAAGAAUCAAGGGGACCAAGUGCUUCGACAUCUGGGCGAAUUACUUGGCUUGGAAGAAGGACGAAAGGAAGGCGAGACCCAGGAAAGCUUGGUGCUCUUUCGCUCCUAGCCGGGGUCAACAUCCAUUAAGGGACCAUCCCUUACCAACCCCACUGACAUCAACAAUUAGACAGGACCUAGGGAUUCUGCCUAACACCCAGACAUGGAUCCAUUACCAACCACCCUCCAACUUUUCAUUACAUCAGCUACUGUUAUUGUCAAGUUGUCAUUAUCCGCUAAGAAAGAGCAAGACAACUAUCAUACUGGGCACAUAAUGUGGGCUGCACCGAUUUGCUAAAAACACUAGCACUGCAAACACUCAGAACAAAGAGGUCAGCAGCGCCUGGACUUUGCAGUUUCCCUCUUGAGUCCACAACAUGUUGAAAAACAAGUGAGGACGCAGAUGCAGAACCUCCUAUCCACACAAGACUCACCUCCUCUCUAUUCCACACACCAUAAUUCUGUAUUUCAGUCUGAUUGCCAUGUGAGUGUACAAAAGAAAUCAGAAAGUAAAUUAACACACACGUACCCAAAAAAUAUCAAUGGUUGUGUAUUUAAAUCAAAAAUAUUGCUAGAUUGGUUUUCACAAGGUGUUUGUUAUUGUAAAUUGUAACGUAUCCCUUGAUGGUAUUUGUUAGUUCAACAUUAUUAAUUGUAUUAUAAGACUUACAAUAGAUAUAUAUUCAACCACAAGGGUGUACUAAUGUGCUAUGAUUUUUUUAAAUCAUAAUUGAGGACUACAAUUAUUUCAGUGUAGGUAAGGGAAUGCCUAUUUAAAAUGAAAACAUGCCAGCCAGACAAGCAAGUGUAUGAAUCAAAUGUAUUUGCAUAUGAAUGAGUGGAAAUCAGUUAACUUUGUGAUCUGUAAGGUAAAUAACUGUGUGCGUGGGGGGGGGGCAUUGAAAUUAUAUUAUGUUUAUUUUGAUGCCUGUUUAUUCAUAAAAAGCAGAAGAUGGUAAAUAACAUUAAUCACAAUGGUAAGCCUAUACAAAUUAAUAGGAAUACAUUUGGCCGAAUUGGUAAUAUGAUGUGGGGGAAAGUCGGGACCCUAGUCAGGCUUUUGUUUGUCAACUCCAGAUUAAAUAUAGGUCUUCAUGUGUAGGAAACUGUGGGCUAAAUCAAUGAAAAACAGCUUAAAUGUUCAGGCUUCAUCAUGAUCUGUGAUCAAAACAGGCUGGGGUGUUUUUGGUUCCGUUUAGUCUAAAGAUAUGCGUAAGAAAGCAACUGCACUGAAAUGAAUAGCCUGAUUCAAUGGGAUUCUCCUGAAUAAUAAAUGUUUUUAUCUGUUAAACUGUUUGGUCCAUGCAUAGAUCCAUACCAAUUCUAACUUUUUGUUAUUUUGCAUUAGGUAUAGCUCUACAUUGCAGAGCAUUUAAUAAACCAACCACAUUUUCCUGGGAUGUUAAGGCUGCGCAAGACCUUCGAUAGGCUAGUAGACUGUGGAAAUAAUCUGGAGUUUAUCAUUGUUGUAGCCUAAAUCGCUUUAUAAAAUCUGGACUUGCUUUCCCUAUGGCUAAGCAAACAAGUGGUAGCACAUUCUUUUGCACGUCUCUAUAACAAGGCCUAUAUCCUCACAUAAACCCCUCAAUUUGAA